This 300-nucleotide unclassified non-coding RNA is filed under the name plant metagenome. Its description in RNAcentral is "partial contains 5.8S ribosomal RNA, internal transcribed spacer 2, and large subunit ribosomal RNA". The stretch from base 1 to 105 matches the Rfam family "5.8S ribosomal RNA", at positions 50 to 154 of the family's 154-position model. The record is from RNAcentral.
AAAAUGCGAUAAGUAAUGUGAAUUACAGAAUUCAGUGAAUCAUCGAAUCUUUGAACGCACAUUGCGCCCGCCAGUAUUCUGGCGGGCAUGCCUGUUCGAGCGUCAUUUCAACCCUCAAGCUCAGCUUGGUGUUGGGACUCGCGGUAACCCGCGUUCCCCAAAUCGAUUGGCGGUCACGUCGAGCUUCCAUAGCGUAGUAAUCAUACACCUCGUUACUGGUAAUCGUCGCGGCCACGCCGUAAAACCCCAACUUCUGAAUGUUGACCUCGGAUCAGGUAGGAAUACCCGCUGAACUUAAGC